GUCUGCGUGGAGCCGACCUUGAAAUACCACCCUUUAAUGUUUGAUGUUCUAACGUGGACCCGUGAUCCGGGUUGCGGACAGUGUCUGGUGGGUAGUUUGACUGGGGCGGUCUCCUCCUAAAGAGUAACGGAGGAGCACGAAGGUUGGCUAAUCCUGGUCGGACAUCAGGAGGUUAGUGCAAUGGCAUAAGCCAGCUUGACUGCGAGCGUGACGGCGCGAGCAGGUGCGAAAGCAGGUCAUAGUGAUCCGGUGGUUCUGAAUGGAAGGGCCAUCGCUCAACGGAUAAAAGGUACUCCGGGGAUAACAGGCUGAUACCGCCCAAGAGUUCAUAUCGACGGCGGUGUUUGGCACCUCGAUGUCGGCUCAUCACAUCCUGGGGCUGAAGUAGGUCCCAAGGGUAUGGCUGUUCGCCAUUUAAAGUGGUACGCGAGCUGGGUUUAGAACGUCGUGAGACAGUUCGGUCCCUAUCUGCCGUGGGCGCUGGAGAACUGAGGGGGGCUGCUCCUAGUACGAGAGGACCGGAGUGGACGCAUCACUGGUGUUCGGGUUGUCAUGCCAAUGGCACUGCCCGGUAGCUAAAUGCGGAAGAGAUAAGUGCUGAAAGCAUCUAAGCACGAAACUUGCCCCGAGAUGAGUUCUCCCUGAGACUUAGAGUCUCCUGAAGGAACGUUGAAGACGACGACGUUGAUAGGCCGGGUGUGUAAGCGCAGCGAUGCGUUGAGCUAACCGGUACUAAUGAACCGUGAGGCUUAACCUUACAACGCCGAAG
Molecule: ribosomal RNA, 769 nt
Filed under: Salmonella enterica
Lineage: Bacteria; Pseudomonadati; Pseudomonadota; Gammaproteobacteria; Enterobacterales; Enterobacteriaceae
Also listed under: 2 other names
Description: partial 23S ribosomal RNA
Rfam family: Bacterial large subunit ribosomal RNA
Source: RNAcentral